RNAcentral lists this ribosomal RNA (253 nucleotides) under uncultured bacterium. RNAcentral describes it as "partial 16S ribosomal RNA". It matches the Rfam family "Bacterial small subunit ribosomal RNA", at positions 524 to 776 of the family's 1533-position model. The record is from RNAcentral.
UACGUAGGUGGCAAGCGUUGUCCGGAUUUAUUGGGUUUAAAGGGUGCGUAGGCGGCCUUUUAAGUCAGUGCUGAGAUAUCCCGGCUUAACCGGGAGGGUGGCAUUGAUACUGAAAGGCUUGAGUAAAGUUGAGGUUGGCGGAAUUGACGGUGUAGCGGUGAAAUGCUUAGAUAUCGUCAAGAACACCGAUAGUGCAGACAGCUAACUAAGCUUUAACUGACGCUGAGGCACGAAAGUGUGGGGAUCAAACAAG